GAUGAAGAACGUAGUGAAACGCGAUAGUUAAUGUGAAUUGCAGAAUUCAGUGAAUCAUCGAGUCUUUGAACGCACAUUGCGCCCCUCGGUAUUCCGGAGGGCAUGUCUGUUUGAGCGUCAUUUCAACACUCUCGCUUUAAGCGGUUUUGGGCUUGGAAUUCUCAUGAAAACUUGAAUGGGGGUCCGGCUUUAAAGUUGAAUGCUUGCAGAUAAAUAUCUUGAAUAAAACAUAGUAAAAAUCUUUGAUUUCCUUCCUGUUUGUUCAUGAUUUUUGUCUAGCCUAAACAAAAAAAAAUCUAUUAUUUUGACCUCAGAUCAGACAAGGAUACCCGCUGAACUUAAGCAUAUCAAUAAGCGGAGGA
RNAcentral lists this unclassified non-coding RNA (362 nucleotides) under soil metagenome. RNAcentral describes it as "partial contains 5.8S ribosomal RNA, internal transcribed spacer 2, and large subunit ribosomal RNA". The stretch from base 1 to 120 matches the Rfam family "5.8S ribosomal RNA", at positions 35 to 154 of the family's 154-position model. The record is from RNAcentral.